Nymphaea colorata (pocket water lily) is the source of this 3241-nucleotide long non-coding RNA. RefSeq lists it as uncharacterized. The record is from RefSeq and is a predicted model, not a curated record. NCBI's taxonomy places the organism in Eukaryota, Viridiplantae, Streptophyta, Magnoliopsida, Nymphaeales, Nymphaeaceae. The transcript is spliced from 8 exons.
GGAGCCACCCAGCCUAGAUUGGCCAAUGGUUCUAGCACAUUUUAGGGUGCACCUCUCAUCAACCAAUAGAAAUAAUUUGUUUGACUUUAUUUGUUUUGUGAGUGACUCAUUGAAUUCCUUCCUCUUGGCACAAGCCAUAAAAAUUUAGUUGUUUCUAUUUUGAAAUUUAUGCAAGGAACAAGAUUGAUUGGUAGUGUUAGAAUUUCUCUCUCUCCCUCUCGGGUUCUCCCUUGGUUUGUGUCCUCCUAACUUGUAGGGGUGCACAACCUACUCGAGCUCGACUCGUAAGUUUAAACGAGCUGCUUCAUUAGUUAAAUAAGUCGAGCUCAAGUUUAUGAGUCAACUCGUUUAACUAAUCGAGUCGAGCUCAAAUUCAUUCUAGUGGACUCGUUAAAGCUCCACUCGGUUCGAUUAACAUACCGGUUUAAAAAAGACCGGUUCAGCUGUCUCACUUCUUCUCAGGCGGGAACGGGACGACUCUCCCUCUCUCGGUCUCUCCGACUUCUCCUUCUCCGCAUGUGCUCCCGCCCCCGCCCUGCUUCACUGCUUGUGCUUCUUCUCCGCCUGUGCUCUGCGCUCCUGCUGCCCUGCGUCAGUGUGCUCUCCGCUUCUCCAGUAAGUCAGUGACACUCAAAGGCAGCGCAUCCCAAGACUUUUCAGCCAAGGUUCCUGCGUGUGCUCUCCACUUCAGCCUUCUCCCUUCAGCUUUCAGCCCAGGCCCCAAGGUUCCUACCUAUGCAUGCUUAUGAAGUUUGAGGCUGCCACCGCUUUGAUCUCCCCUUGUUGACGAAGACUGUCGGCGUCUGGUUCUGCCAUUCUGGUGACCCUGGUAAAACACUGGCAGCUCUCUUCGUCUCUCGUUGCAGUGAGCCAGUUUCAUGUGAGUGUCGUCGCCUUCAAUCGAUCUCUCGAUCUCCCCUUGCAUCUCCUUCUGAGAAACCACAACUUAGUUAUGAGCAGCAGAGGGCUUUCAACACUAAGCAAUGUGCAGAGGGGGGGGUUCGGGCAGGACUGAAGGCAUCAUCCAUUGCUGGUGUGGCUAGCACCAUUCCAACGAAAACAAAGCCACAUUAUCGAAGCAUUAGGGAAUUAAGGGCACUAGGACUGACACCCCAUUUACUGGCUUGUCGAUCUGCUCAGCAUGUUGUUAGCAUAUGUAUUAGCAUUUGGUAUCAUGUGCCAUAUACGCCAAAAGGGGAACUCCACAACUUUUUUGAAUAUCAGCAUCAGAGGCAAUGGAUUCCUGCACCAGAUGACAGUAAACAACCUUGCCCUAUAAAGCUUCAAUUCACAAUGUUGGGCCGAAAGCUCCAUGUGAACACAAGACCAUUAAGUUGACUCUGGAAGGAAACCUGUAACAGGAAUCUGUCUGUUCCUAGAAGGAGAUGUUGUUGAAGAGAAGUUCACCAUCCAUAUCCAACACCUCCCCUCACUACCUGCGUUCCUGAUCUUCUCCAAUGAGCUUGCCUAUGGAUCUGGUAUUGUUAACGACAAGUGCCAGACACUGUUCACAUGUAUGUAUUGCACCUGUUGAGUGCACUCUGGCUAUGACUGACAAAUCGGCCUGGAUAGUAACACUUGAAAAUAAACUUAACCCGAUUAUGUUGGUCUCUCAUUGGAAUGUGCAUUGGAUGCCACAAAUCUGAAUGAAUAGGUAAAAUCUGCUGGUCAUACUAAUUUUCUGUUAGGUGGCAUUGCACACUGCACAAAAAAAAGUAAUGGCAUAAUUGAAUGGUUGAACUGACAGCAGCAAACUAUGUAUUCGAGCCUUAAUCGAGCUCACGGUCGAGCUUGAGCUGGAUGACUGUAAAUGAGUUUAUCGAGCUUAAUCGAGUCGAGCUCGAGCUCGACAAGUGACUAUCGAGUCGAGUUCGGGCCAGUAUAGUCGAGCUAUAUUCGAGCUCGAGCCGAGUCAAGCUCGUGUCUUACUUAGUCGAGCCGAGUUCGAGCUGACCGAGCUCGGGCUCGAUUUGGCUCGUGUUCAGCCCUACUCCUAAGCAGUGCCACUGAUCGCCUAGUUGACCAUCAGCCAUCUCUUUUUACUGUCGUGCAUCCCAACUACUGCCAACUGUAGAUCGCCACCAUCCUCCUAGGUAUUGCAGCUCUCCUUAUUUUUCCUUAAUUCCAGCCUAAUAUUGGUAGUCUCCUUGUGUCUUCACGUGGUCCAUUCGUCACAACUAUGCCCAAAUGUGGAGCUUUCUAGCACGCAAGGAGAACACACACUACUGCCUCAUCAACAACUCUACCCCAGACGCGAAGCCCUCCCCAGAAUCAAGCGCUCUAAGCCGGUAUGCUCUUCAACUCUUCAACUGGCUGAUCCAAGACCUUGGCUCACUUGCUGGUCAGGACAACAAGUCCUGGGAACCAAUGGGCUGCCGGGUGCACAUGAGGAGACACUGCGGCGAUCCAGCCUGGCCCAUGGCACUGCACACCUUCACCAGCAAAAGUGAGUGAUCCUUGUUCAGUAAGCUUCGUAUUGAGGGUGGCAAUCUGUCUUGGCUGAUUCUUGCCCUGAUGUCUUGUUCGGGCAUGCACAUUGUAUUGCUAGACCAGCAAGAGGCUAGUCGCAUCUACAAGAUCCUCUGUUAAGGAGGAGCACUCGCACCACUAAGCAUGGAUGCGGGCUGAUCUCUUGAGUGUUUGGGCCACUGAGUGAAGACCCGCAUCAUGAUGACAUGUAUUUGGAUUUUGAUGAAAUCACUGUAAGUAGAGAAUAUUCCCUGGUCUUUGUUCCAUUGAAGAAUUUGGGGGCUUUGACACCAUUGAAAACAUUUUCACAGUAGACCAACAAUACUAUAUAAGAUCUAAGGCUUGGGAAAUUAAAAUAUAACAUGAAGAAAGAACUCAUUUAUGUACAUAUUAACAUUAAGGUGGGUAUAUAGUUCUUUCUUUUAAAGAAUUAAAAUAAAACAUUGGAAUCCAACCGAGAGUUUUAGUGGAGAAAAACAUCAAAAGCUAACUAAGGUGCUUUAAGCUUGGUGUGAUGAAAAAUUAGAUUGGAUAAAGGUGUAAUUCAGCUACAACUCAGAACUACUUAGUCCUAUAAUUUCCUCAAGUUGUCUAAUUCUAUAAUUUAAGUUGUUUCUCUAGAAUCAGCCAAAAUUGAGUAAGAAAUCAAUUAUGUUGUAGCAAGAUCAGAGUGUGAUUCUCAGCUCGUUGCAUAGAAGGUGUUCUUCAUUCUUAUGUACAGUAUAUAUAUAUUAGAAAAAUGAAAUUAGAAGAUAUGUCUCUCUUCAGCAUA